Non-coding RNA from Misgurnus anguillicaudatus (oriental weatherfish), 1652 nucleotides. The record is from RefSeq and is a predicted model, not a curated record. NCBI's taxonomy places the organism in Eukaryota, Metazoa, Chordata, Actinopteri, Cypriniformes, Cobitidae.
AUUGUGUAUCUGCGCAUGUAGCGAAUACUGAAUAAAUCCAACGUAAUAUUAAUCAGCUGUUUUAAAUUAAAAACCACUCCGGGUUGAUAUGCAGGUCGUGAGCGCUGAGCAGACGGAUUUAGGAAAUAUUUCUGUUAAUGUGCCAAAAUACAAAGUUUUGAAAGCAUUUCAGUCGAGAAUGUAUGUUUUUUAAACAAGAAUCUGCAGUAGGUUCAUAAAGAUAUCGCCUAUUUAAACAUUUCCUUGGAGUUUUGUGGCGAUGGGAGCUCCAGAUAAUCAGCGGGCGCUCCGCGCGUAUUAUACGGGACAACGGCGCCUCACCUCGGCCAGUGUCUCUGAAAAUCUCCGCUGGCUGUGACGUCAAUGUAGUGUUUAAACUGUGGAUAAAAUUCAUUUCGGGUAAAUUUAACGGGCAAUCUUUGGUCUUAUAAGUAUAUAAGCAGUGUUUCUUUGUAUAAUUUGUUUGUAAUUUGUAAAUUAAUUACAAUAAGGAUUAAUAUGAACUGGGUUUGGACGUAACUUCAGCUUUAGGACCCAGGAGGUCGCAUAUCUAGGAUGCAUUCGUCGAUUCGCAUGCUGCGAUUGGUGGUCCAGAUGCAACUCAUUUUGAGUGACAGAAAAACUGACCAAUCAUACUGUUCCUCUGAAUGGGUGGGUUCUCUUAUCACUAACUCUCAUAGAUAUGUAAUAUGUAACGUUAUGUAUCUAUUAUGACAAAUUCUGCCCGCUCGCUCGCUUGGUUCGUGUUUUAAAGAUAAAUGUGACUUUACUGCGGUCUUUUUCGGUUUAUUUAGUUUUGUGUUAAUUAUAUCCACAAAGUAUUCGAAUAAAUUGGUAAUGUAAAACUAUUCUCCGCUGUAAAUUAAUUGUGUGCUCAAUUGCGACGCCCUGUGUUGAAUUUUCCCGCGGAAAACAUGAACCAUUUCUGACUGAAAUGUUUGACAAAGGCGUCUUACUGGAGUACAGUAUCAUUACUGAGGGGAAAUAUAACAUUCAUUUAAUUCCACAAAAGGUGAGUAAGAUAUUAAAUGUAUAAGUUGUCUUUUUAAAAUGUUUAAGCUUUCUACAUAUUGUAAGUUGAACAUUUAUUAUUAUUAAUUUCGCGACCUAUUAUCUAAAUUGUGUGUUCAUGAAGGCCUGUAACAUACUGCAGCUUCCUGCAGGCAACGUGAAACAUUGCUGAGGGAGAACUUUAUUCACAACAAAAGGAUAAAGAUGAAGAGGCGGGACUUGAGCAGCUUGUGAUGGCUGUAAUUGUAAAGAAUGGAUCUUCUAGGAGUGGAAGCCCAAAGGAUGCUGGAAUUGUUAUUGAGGCCUUAAAGGUGUUCACAGGGCAUGCUUUAUCCUUGGAUCUAUGCAUUAAAUCUCCAGUAUCCCAGGCAUCUUUUCAGGUGUUUCAGAAACUUUUCUUGGAGCUGGAUUCUUCAAAGUUUAUGAACUGAUUACAGUACAGUAAGUCUAAACUGCUGUCUGAUUUUCUGGGUGUGAAUCAAUGUAACAGAACACAAACAUGGAACCUUGUGGACGGGAAAUGUGGACGGUUUUCUUUAAAGACUGUAAAAUACUUUUUGAAGUUUACACUGUUACAAAUACAUCAUUAAAAUGAGAUGCUUUCCUGUUCUUUUGACUGCAAUAAAAUAAGAAUUGAUUCA